GACGAACGCUGGCGGCGUGCUUAACACAUGCAAGUCGAACGGAAAGGCCCUGCUUUUGUGGGGUGCUCGAGUGGCGAACGGGUGAGUAACACGUGAGUAACCUGCCCUUGACUUUGGGAUAACUUCAGGAAACUGGGGCUAAUACCGGAUAGGAGCUCCUGCUGCAUGGUGGGGGUUGGAAAGUUUCGGCGGUUGGGGAUGGACUCGCGGCUUAUGAGCUUGUUGGUGGGGUAGUGGCUUACCAAGGCAUUGACGGGUAGCCGGCGUGAUAGGGUGACCGGCCACACAGGGACUGACGUGCGGGCCAGCGUAAUCCAGGAAGCAUCAGUGCGGACUAUUGCACAAUAGACUGAAGCCUGAUGAAGAAACGCCGCGUGCGGGAUGACGGCCUUCGGCUUGUAAGCCGCUUUCGCCUAUGACUAAGCGUGAAUGACGGUAAUAGGUAAAGAAGCACCGGCUAACUCCGUG
RNAcentral lists this ribosomal RNA (468 nucleotides) under uncultured bacterium. RNAcentral's name for it is "partial 16S ribosomal RNA". It matches the Rfam family "Bacterial small subunit ribosomal RNA", at positions 28 to 507 of the family's 1533-position model. The record is from RNAcentral.